UGUCGAGGAUGAUAAAAGAAAAGGCUUGUUUCUCAGAAAAACAUUUGCAGUAGUUGCCUAAGAGCUUUCGUCAUGCCGGGCUUGAGAGCUAAUGCUGCCGAACUCUUCCUUGGAUGUUUGAGACA
Molecule: small nucleolar RNA, 125 nt
Filed under: Amborella trichopoda
Lineage: Eukaryota; Viridiplantae; Streptophyta; Magnoliopsida; Amborellales; Amborellaceae
Description: snoRNA SNORD14
Rfam family: Small nucleolar RNA SNORD14
About the family: U14 small nucleolar RNA (U14 snoRNA) is required for early cleavages of eukaryotic precursor rRNAs.
Source: Rfam by way of RNAcentral